GGGGAUGUGGCUCAGUGGUAGAGCUUUUGGCCUUGCAUGAACAAGGCCCUGGGUUUCAUCCCCAGCACUACCA
Molecule: transfer RNA, 73 nt
Filed under: Fukomys damarensis (Damara mole-rat)
Lineage: Eukaryota; Metazoa; Chordata; Mammalia; Rodentia; Bathyergidae
Rfam family: tRNA
About the family: Transfer RNA (tRNA) molecules are approximately 80 nucleotides in length.
Source: Rfam by way of RNAcentral